Molecule: ribosomal RNA, 465 nt
Filed under: Vreelandella stevensii
Lineage: Bacteria; Pseudomonadati; Pseudomonadota; Gammaproteobacteria; Oceanospirillales; Halomonadaceae
Description: partial 16S ribosomal RNA
Rfam family: Bacterial small subunit ribosomal RNA
Source: RNAcentral
CCUACGGGUGGCUGCAGUGGGGAAUAUUGGACAAUGGGCGAAAGCCUGAUCCAGCCAUGCCGCGUGUGUGAAGAAGGCCUUCGGGUUGUAAAGCACUUUCAGUGGGGAAGAAAGCCUUGGGGCUAAUACCCUCGAGGAAGGACAUCACCCACAGAAGAAGCACCGGCUAACUCCGUGCCAGCAGCCGCGGUAAUACGGAGGGUGCGAGCGUUAAUCGGAAUUACUGGGCGUAAAGCGCGCGUAGGCGGUCUGAUAAGCCGGUUGUGAAAGCCCCGGGCUCAACCUGGGAACGGCAUCCGGAACUGUCAGGCUAGAGUGCAGGAGAGGAAGGUAGAAUUCCCGGUGUAGCAGUGAAAUGCGUAGAGAUCGGGAGGAAUACCAGUGGCGAAGGCGGCCUUCUGGACUGACACUGACGCUGAGGUGCGAAAGCGUGGGUAGCAAACAGGAUUAGAUACCCCUGUAGUC